RNAcentral lists this ribosomal RNA (253 nucleotides) under uncultured bacterium. Its description in RNAcentral is "partial 16S ribosomal RNA". It matches the Rfam family "Bacterial small subunit ribosomal RNA", at positions 524 to 776 of the family's 1533-position model. The record is from RNAcentral.
UACGUAGGGACCGAGCGUUGUCCGGAUUCAUUGGGCGUAAAGAGCUCGUAGGCGGCCACUCAAGUCGAAUGUGAAACCUCGAGGCUUAACCUCGAGCCUGCAUUCGAUACUGGGCGGCUAGAGUCUGGUAGGGGGAUCUGGAAUUCCUGGUGUAGCAGUGAAAUGCGUAGAGAUCAUGAGGAAGACCAGUGGCGAAGGCGGGUCUCUGGACAGUUCCUGACACUGAGGCACGAAGGCCAGGGGAGCAAACGGG